Seriola aureovittata is the source of this 388-nucleotide long non-coding RNA. RefSeq lists it as uncharacterized. Lineage: Eukaryota; Metazoa; Chordata; Actinopteri; Carangiformes; Carangidae. The record is from RefSeq and is a predicted model, not a curated record. The transcript is spliced from 3 exons.
GACGAGCUGCUGUAGCUGUGAGGCAACGGGAGUGCCGAUCUGAGAGCAGUCUCGGAGGCCGGCUGAGGAGAGCUGCAGCUCUGGGCUCUGAGUGAGGACAGGCUGCUAGCCGGCGGGUGCUGUAGAGGAGGGAGAGCAAGCAAGAGCCUAAUGAGAUGUCUAUCGCCUCCGUCUAGACUGGACCGCUCCUUUCAGCAAAGAAUCACCACCACUACCACACCACACUGCACUGUACUACACACUGUACCCUGUCUGCCUGCCUGCUGCUGCUGCUGAGGGAAUAGCGAAAGGCAAGUCUCCAGCACAAGUGAUGCUUCCCGACAUAUGUGAAAGUCCAUUUUUUUCCCCUUCUUUUUUAUUCGAACAGCCCACUCUUUCUGCCUCCCGC